AAGGGGACCAGCAAGAGAGGGCUGAAGGAAUGCCUUAAAUGAAUCUCACUCAUGUGACUGGAUACAUUUGGGUCAAGGGCCAUGACAAAUCCAGAGGAUGAUGUAAUGACCGAACUAAACAUCCAUCAAUUGCCUGACCCACAAGCAAGUCAGCCAGUGAAAGCAGAAUACAGAGGACCACCUCCCCAGAGAGGAAAUGCCACCCACCUACAUGGCAGAGGAGAAGAAAGAAGAACAUUGCUUUCUGCUUCUUCCAGGCCAGAGCAAAGACAAUCCACAUUAAGAACUACUUGAUAAUAUUUGUCAACAUAAAUGUAAAUGCCAGUAAGUUCCCCCAAAUAAAAA
Non-coding RNA from Peromyscus maniculatus bairdii (prairie deer mouse), 345 nucleotides. Lineage: Eukaryota; Metazoa; Chordata; Mammalia; Rodentia; Cricetidae. The record is from RefSeq and is a predicted model, not a curated record.